AGAGGAAGUAAAAGUCGUAACAAGGUUUUCCGUAGGUGAACCUGCGGAAGGAUCAUUACUGAGUGAGGGCCCUCUGGGUCCAACCUCCCACCCGUGUUUAUUGUACCUUGUUGCUUCGGUGCGCCCGCCUCACGGCCGCCGGGGGGCUUCUGCCCCCGGGUCCGCGCGCACCGGAGACACCAUUGAACUCUGUCUGAAGAUUGCAGUCUGAGCAUAAACUAAAUAAGUUAAAACUUUCAACAACGGAUCUCUUGGUUCCGGCAUCGAUGAAGAACGCAGCGAAAUGCGAUAACUAAUGUGAAUUGCAGAAUUCAGUGAAUCAUCGAGUCUUUGAACGCACAUUGCGCCCCCUGGUAUUCCGGGGGGCAUGCCUGUCCGAGCGUCAUUGCUGCCCUCAAGCACGGCUUGUGUGUUGGGCUCCGUCCCCCCGGGGACGGGUCCGAAAGGCAGCGGCGGCACCGAGUCCGGUCCUCGAGCGUAUGGGGCUUUGUCACCCGCUCUGUAGGCCCGGCCGGCGCCAGCCGACAACCAAUCAUCCUUUUUUCAGGUUGACCUCGGAUCAGGUAGGGAUACCCGCUGAACUUAAGCAUAUCAAU
This 596-nucleotide ribosomal RNA is filed under the name Penicillium sp. 06VT06. RNAcentral describes it as "eukaryotic LSU rRNA". The stretch from base 232 to 385 matches the Rfam family "5.8S ribosomal RNA". Lineage: Eukaryota; Fungi; Ascomycota; Eurotiomycetes; Eurotiales; Aspergillaceae. The record is from RNAcentral.